This 238-nucleotide long non-coding RNA is filed under the name Mytilus galloprovincialis (Mediterranean mussel). Lineage: Eukaryota; Metazoa; Mollusca; Bivalvia; Mytilida; Mytilidae. The record is from RNAcentral.
GGACCCAUCUUCAGUUUUCUUACAAUAUCAAAGCUUCAUGAAAAAAUGUUCUUGUUGACUUUAUAAUAGUCUUUCUACAUAGAUCAUCAUGCAGAUUUUGGUGAAGCACUUUCCCUCCCAAGAUAUUUAUUAUCACCUACCAAUUUCAUCAUGCCAAGAUCAGCUUUUGAUGAAAAAGAAAACUAAAAUGAAGAUCCAGUGGCCAAGUACAUGUAUCAAUAAGGCCAUUCAAAAUAAA